RNAcentral lists this ribosomal RNA (847 nucleotides) under Curcuma longa (turmeric). RNAcentral's name for it is "eukaryotic LSU rRNA". It matches the Rfam family "Eukaryotic large subunit ribosomal RNA", at positions 1 to 837 of the family's 3401-position model. Lineage: Eukaryota; Viridiplantae; Streptophyta; Magnoliopsida; Zingiberales; Zingiberaceae. The record is from RNAcentral.
CGGCCCCAAGUCAGGCGAGACCACCCGCCGAGUUUAAGCAUAUAAAUAAGCGGAGGAGGAGAAACUUACGAGGAUUCCCCUAGUAACGGCGAGUGAACCGGGAUCAGCCCAGCUUGAGAAUUUGACGGUUGAAUCCGUUCGAGUUGUAGUCUGGAGAAGUGUCCUCAGCGACGGAUCGGGCCCAAGUCCCUUGGAAUGGGGUGCCGGGGAGGGUGAGAGCCCCGUCUGGCCCGGACCAUGCCGCAUGACGAGGCACUGUCGUCGAGUCGGGUUGUUUGGGAAUGCAGCCCCAGUUGGGCGGUAAAUUUCGUCCAAGGCUAAAUAUUGGCGAGAGACCGAUAGCGAACAAGUACCGCGAGGGAAAGAUGAAAAGGACUUUGAAAAGAGAGUCAAAGAGUACUUGAAAUUGCCGCGAGGGAAGCGGAUGGGGGUCGACGGAGUGCUCCGGUCGGAUGCGGAACGGCUCUAGUCGGUCCGUUGCUCGACUUGGGGCAUGGACCGUUGCAGGCUACGCUGGCGGUCCAAGCCCGAACGCAUUGUGCGCGCUCGCGGCAUAUUGCCAGCGUGGUCGAGGAUGCGGCGCGCGCCAUCGGCGUUCCACCCUGUGGCACUUGUGCGCUCAAGGCAUCGGCCAGUGGGCUCCCCAUUCGACCCGUCUUGAAACACGGACCAAGGAGUCUGACAUGCAUGCGAGUCGGUGAGUUUGGAAACUCUGACGGCGCAAGGAAGCUGAUGGGUGGGAGCCCCUUUCUUUCUGUGGGGGUGCAUCACCGGCCGACCUAGAUCUUUUGUGAAGGGUUUGUGUUGGAGCAUGCCUGUCGGGACCCGAAAGAUGGUGAACUAUGCC